UCCGAAUUGGUGUAGUGGCUAACAUUUGACGCUCUCAUGGCAAGGUGCCGUCAAGCCCGGGGUUCGAUUCCCCGAUUCGGAG
This 82-nucleotide transfer RNA is filed under the name Xylaria sp. CBS 124048. Its description in RNAcentral is "tRNA-Glu". It matches the Rfam family "tRNA". From Rfam's summary of the family: Transfer RNA (tRNA) molecules are approximately 80 nucleotides in length. Their secondary structure includes four short double-helical elements and three loops (D, anti-codon, and T loops). The record is from RNAcentral. Lineage: Eukaryota; Fungi; Ascomycota; Sordariomycetes; Xylariales; Xylariaceae.